This 504-nucleotide ribosomal RNA is filed under the name uncultured bacterium. RNAcentral describes it as "partial 16S ribosomal RNA". It matches the Rfam family "Bacterial small subunit ribosomal RNA", at positions 28 to 507 of the family's 1533-position model. The record is from RNAcentral.
GACGAACGCUGGCGGCGUGCUUAACACAUGCAAGUCGAACGGUGAAGCGCUUGCCUUUUUGGUGGGUGUGGAUGAGUGGGGAACGGGUGAGUAACACGUGAGUAACCUGCCCUCUUCUUCUGGAUAACCUCAUGAAAGUGGGGCUAAUACGGGGUAUUCCGGGUCUGUCGCAUGGCGGGUUUGGGAAAGAUUGCGCCUUUGGGUGUUUUCGGUGGGGGAUGGGCUCGCGGCCUAUCAGCUUGUUGGUGGGGUGAUGGCCUACCAAGGCGGUGACGGGUAGCCGGCCUGGGAGGGUGGACGGCCACACUGGGACUGAGACACGGCCCAGACUCCUGCGGGAGGCAGCAGUGGGGAAUAUUGCACAAUGGGCGCAAGCCUGAUGCAGCGACGCCGCGUGAGGGAUGGAGGCCUUCGGGUUGUGAACCUCUUUCGCCAGUGAAGCAGGCCUGCUCCUGUGUGGGUGGGUUGACGGUAGCUGGAUAAGAAGCGCCGGCUAACUACGUG